Nasonia vitripennis (jewel wasp) is the source of this 11477-nucleotide RNA transcript. It is a transcript of the gene named BUB3-interacting and GLEBS motif-containing protein ZNF207, with no coding region annotated. Lineage: Eukaryota; Metazoa; Arthropoda; Insecta; Hymenoptera; Pteromalidae. The transcript has 7 exons. The record is from RefSeq and is a predicted model, not a curated record.
GUGGGUGCGCAGUGCGGCUAGUGCGACUGCAAGACAGAGGACGUUUGACGAGAUUCCCGUGAGACGAAUAGACGCGAGUCUGUACGCGGGGAAGCCUCGACUCCAAGAAGAAGCUGAACAGAAGUGUCUCCGUGUGUUCAGCUGGUGGUGAUUGAGGCCAUCAUCAGAAAAGAAAGCGAGCCCCAAGGUCGUUAACGUCGCAGCUGCAGGCAUGGGACGCAAGAAGAAGAAGCAGUCAAGGCCCUGGUGCUGGUAUUGCAACAGAGAAUUUGAUGACGAAAAGAUUUUGAUCCAGCAUCAAAAAGCAAAACACUUCAAAUGUCACAUCUGUCAUAAGAAGCUUUAUACGGGUCCAGGCUUGAGCAUACAUUGUAUGCAGGUUCACAAAGAGACAAUAGAUAAAGUUCCAAACUCACUCCCAAAUCGCAGUAAUAUAGAAAUAGAAAUCUAUGGUAUGGAAGGAAUUCCAGCUAAUGACUUGAAGGAGCAUGAAAGACAGAGGAAUGGAGGCCGACCAGGUUCUCCAAGCUCUGGCGAAGAUGAACCAGCGCCAAAGAAGAAUAAACCAGAGGGUUUAUUAGGUUCGGCUCCUGGAGCAUUAGGUAGUUCAAACAUGAUGUCACAUGGAAUGCAAGGACAUCAUGGAAUGUCCAUGGGUCAAUAUCCCCCAUCUAUGCAUCAUAUGAUGGGACCCAUGGGAUACAUGAAUCCUGGUAUGGUACCAGGAAUGCACGGUAUGCCGCCUGGUAUGCCGCCAGUAAGUGGAGCAUCAGGUCCACCUAGGCCAUUAUUCCCAGCCACAGCAGUUUCUUCUGCUACCUCGACAUCAUCAUCGACGCCGCUUGGCACCGAUUUCAAGCCUAUUACGUCUAUAGCCGGAGGUUCGAUAGGACCUGUAAAACCAACGUUUCCCGCUUAUGGCAGUAUCGAUAAUGGUACCUCAACGACUUCUACCUCUAGUGAUUCUAAAGUGAAUAUGAUAGCUACAACAGGAGCAUCUAGUAAAAUAAUUCAUCCUCCAGAAGAUCUCAGUCUGAUGGAUACUCUUGAGGAAAUCCGAGCGAGAUUACCAAAGUACCAACGUAAAAACUCUGAGGAGACUCGCUCGGCUCAGCAAGAGGCGGCUCAGCACGCAGCUCAGCACGCGGCUGCUAUGCAACACCACCAUCAGCAGCAGCAGCAACAACAACAGCAGCAACAGCAGCAACAGCAACAACAGCAGCAACAGCAGCAGCAGGCUGCGGCAGCUUCGGCCGUGGCCGCAUUCCAAGACCAACAGCAACGACAGCAGGCAGCUUUGAGCGCGUUGCAACAGCAGCAACAACAACGCUACCCGAGGCCACAAGUAAUAGGAAUGCCCCAAGUCUCGGCGGCGAUGCCCGUCAGCUCCGUAGCGCUCAUGGCGCCGCUGAUGCGGCCAACCAUGACCCUCGCGGCGCCAGCGCUCCUUCACGGAGGUAACAUGAUGCGACCGCCCCCAAUGGGCUUGCCACCAGGUAAGUCUCCAGGAUUUUCUUCUCAAGCUCGAUUCUCUCGCUCUCUCACUAUCGAUCUGCCCGACAUCCCACUUGUCCUUGACACCAGAUAUUUCUCUUUUAUUUUAUAAAUAUUAUACAUAUAUUAUCUUUUUCACUUACGUGAUAUUUAUUAUCUAUAUAUCUAUAUAUAUAUAUUUUUUGAAAAUUUGUUUGAAUCUCGUUUUUAAAUAAUUUUUUCAUUCUAUACAUACAGAAAGUUUUUUCUUGUGUAUUAUACAAUUUCUAUAUAUGGCUAGGUUGUACUUUUUUUUGUUAAAUUUGUGUUAGCUCAUAUAUCUACAGACAAGCGAAGUAUAUACUUUCCCGAACACCCCGCCCUUCUCUCACCUUACACCCAUUAAACAGAAGCGCGGCACAAUGAGCCUUGUUUGCCUUGCUUUAUGGGACGCUUGCUAUUGGAGUUCCAACCGACAAUAGAACCGUUCGUAAAAUUUUAUGGGCUCAAUUAUUUUUUAAACUGUUAACUGAAAUAGAAAUAAUUGUUACUCUCACUUAUAAGACUUUAGUAGAAUUCUUCACUGUCAAUUUUACAGUAUUUUAGAUUUGAAACUUCUGAAGAAUCUAUAACUUAUUUUUUAAAUAUUUAAUAAUAAUCUUCCAGAAACAACAAUGAAACAUGUAUUUCCAAUUUUUACGAAGUUUACGAAAUAUUUCGUAUCUCUGAAAGAUUUUAGAAGUUUAACGCGUGUAAGGGAAGGGAAUGGAAGGGACAAGGACAAGACAUUUAAAUGACGAUACCACUUGACUUUUAUUCUCACUACUAGUCUGAAAAAGGACGAAAAUAGAUCACGCGAUUGAACUAAACACGAUUCUUUUUGAAUGAAAGAACGCACGUACGCUAGGGACUCAUCCGUUUUAUUUCUCUUAUGAUUGAAAAUUAGAGAUUGACUUGUACAGAUAAAAUUGAAAAAUCGACUGUCUCUCACACAGCGUCCUGCUGAAACAGUUUUUACGUUUUUAACGGUGCGUUUGCAGGGCGCCCUGUCACUCCUCGAUGAGUGUCGAACCGAACCCCAGUCUCUGGUUACUAAAACCCGUGUUUUAGACAAGUGCAACAAGGUUGGUCCUUAGCAACUAGCAUGCGGUGAAAUGGCCUAUGUAUAUCUCAUUAUAAAUAUUAUAUUACUAUUAUUAUUAUCAUCAUCAUUACCCAUUACUUCUACGCCACCAUCGCAUCGUAACCAUCAUUAUGCUGUUUUGUUUAUUAAUAUUGUUCAUUACCACCAUCAUUAUAACCAUCCGCCAUCAUUUCUAACACUCAUUUUUCUUUUAAUUAUGCAAAGCAAUAAUGUCGUGCGGCCAAUCUUAUUUUAUUUUUAAGAAAGAAUUAAAAUUGUUUUGCUUUGAAUAUUCUUGGUUGCUCGACCAUCGCGUAAUUUUCUUUCUGCUGUACUUUAUUUUUCAUUUGUAUUAACCUUUAUUUUUCACUCAUUUACCAUUUACGUUUACUACUCAUUUGUCUUGAAAAAUCGGUCGCUCACCCCCUCAUCCAAACGCGUAAAGUUUACCUUUUACUUUUGUUCCCUUAACGCUGCAGUUUUCUCCUGUAUUUCUCUGUUCUAUAUCUUUAUCUUUCUCUUUCUUACAUUAACUGGUAGCUUGAAAUUCCUGGUGUUGUGAUAAAGUAGUGAUGAGCGCUUUUUUGGGCACGGUACAGCUCCAUAUAUUGAUUAAAAAAAAACUGUCUUUGAUUUUUUUUUCACUUUUUUUGGUACAAUCGACUGUUUUUUGCUCUUGAAUCUUCGUUCGGAGAAUUGAUGCACAUUUUUCAUGAAAUUGACCGUCUUCCGCUGUAUUUAUCUCAAGUUUGUUUGUUGGAUUCUUACUAUGAGUAUAUGGCACUUUGAACACAUACACACUUUUGAGUAUAUAUAGAUACAGCGGUAACCUCCCCUUAUCCGGCGACUUAUGUGUGUAUCCGAGAGCGUAAUAGCGAAGGGACUUGGCAAGUAAAUUAUAAAGAAUUACUGUUAUCUGUUAAAGUCAUAUGUAGAACUUUUUAUUACGUAUAUAUGCUUUUUAUGUUGUAAUCACCAAUUUAUUUCUUGGUCUCUUACGACCGUAUUACCAUCAGGAUUAUUGCAUUGUGGCUAAUCAUGUGACUUGGCACGACGGCAAUCGGAUGCGAAAGGGUGAUUAUUCCUUGUCAAUCAUAUAAGUUUUUUACAAUGUGUCACUCGAAGUAUAGGUCGGUUUCAAUGAGCAGUUUUGUAAGUAGAUUUUUUCUUUUGCUUUAAAUAAGUAUACUUAUUAAUUUUAAUUCAAUUAAAAUUAUAAGAAUUGCGAAUAUUCCUUAGGAUGUAGACUGAUUUUUUUUGUUUUGUUGUCGAAGGGAUAACGCCUCCUAGAGAAGCAAUAAAUGUAGAAAGCUUUGUUUAACGACUAAUACUAAUAUUAAUGACAAUGAGAGUAGUUUAUUUAACAGCAUAUUUAUUAUACACAUCUUGCGAAAUAUAUAAGCUGGCCUCACUAAUUUUCAUGCUUGUGUCGCCGAAAGAAAAGAAAAGCUUAGAUGUUAAUAUAAAAAAUUCUAUAUAACGCACGGUACGUUUCGUGAAAAGAUCUGCAACAAGAACGAACUCAAUAAUCUAUCUGUAAUAUUAUAUACGUAACUCAUACUCACGCACGCUAUAUAUUAAAGUUUUACAUAUAUACAUAUAUACAUAUAAAUAUAAAUAUGAAUAUAGCCCAUAUAUAGCUUUUAUGUAACAUGAAAGAUUUUUAGAUAAGUCGAGCCGAACGACAGUAAGUAAACGAAUUCACGUAACAAGUAUAUUUACCUAGACUUAUUUUUAAUUAUUACUCAUUUUUAUUUUAGUUUACUUGUACUAUACUCGUCAUUAACACUAACCGGUUGGGAAAACUACUACUACUACUACUGUUUUAUUUUUUUUUCUGUUAUUUUUACUGUCAUAAUGCUGUUAUUUAUUUAUAUAUACUAUACGUGUUUCUGUUACGUACGCGCUGACUUUGUGCACAGCAUAAUCGGGGCGAGCUCCACGGGAGGCUAAGCGGUGCCACUGCUUCGACCCGAGUCUGCACUCGAAAAAUCCAAGGGGAGAAAGAGAGAAGUUGAAGCUCAGACCUUUUACUCGUCUCAUUUCUUUCACGGAAUAAGCAAAAGCGAAACAGCCACGUUCAAGCGAAUUUUCGGAUGCUACAUACUUUUGUUUUCGCAAGCCGCAAAAGGCGAUUAUUAAAUUUUCCAGCGUGCGACCUAGUACUUUCCGAGACUCUCGUCCACAUGCAAAUUAUACCUCCUUCUCUCAUCCCCUUUCCGCUCGUAUACUGAACUUUGGCAUAGCUUGGCUUCUGGCGACCUCGACACGUCUCGUGCUCGGUCUCUAUGACUUUAGAAGUUUUGUUUUCUAGUACACAUAUAUUUUGUGAGAGGGUAAAUAUGAGCGAUAGAUGGGAAGUUCGGAAGAUGCUCCGGGUGACAGCCGAUCCGAGAAUCACAGACGAUAUAGUUCAUGGGGGUGACGAGGGGUCGCACAGAAAAGUGACUCCUGAUCACCUUUUAUUUGCUAUUUUGUGUGUGGUAUAUAGCACCUUUUACUUCUUCGUUUGAAUUUUUUUUUCUUGUAUGCUUUUCAGUGUUCAAAUAUAUAUAUAUAUAUAUAUAUAUAUAUAUAUAUAUAUAUAUAUAUAUAUAUAUAAAACACAUAUCAGAGCAUUGCGAUUCCGAUUUGCACAGAUGCAUGCGUUUCUUUGGUUACACGCAGUCACAGACUUCGUUGUUAAUCUUUGGUUUUAAGCAGAUUGAGUUGUGCAGUGCAGUAGUUUGGUGCUGAUGUAUUAUCACGUUUUUUUCACUUGAUCUCGUUUAACAAUAUUACUGCUAUAAGGCAUUAAAUAAUUCUAAGUUCGACUAUUGUAUGGUAUGAAGUUCUCAAUGUUUUUCUCGGUGUACCCCUAGACUGACCUUCACUUUCUUCAACUUCUCAUAAAAACCGUAGACGUUUGCAUCCACGUAGCCAUCAGAAUCACUGUUAUAACAUUGAUCCUCAGUAUCUAUUUCAAAUUACUAACAUAAAAUUGAUCUACUGUUUGACUAAGACUAUACUUAGGUGCGGACAUAAUGAGAGUAUCUGAUUUUCAGUUUCUUUUUUUGCGCUCUUUGGGAAUUUAAUUUACAUACUGACACGCCCCGUAGAACUUUACAUACACACAUCUACGCAACUAUUAUUAAUUUAUCACCUGUGGCGGUUCGCAUUGAGAUAUCAGGUCUGGGUAUUCGCUGCCUAGCUUUAUUAUGCGAUAACGAUGGUUUCAGAAUGCGUCAAAGUUACGACUUUUUUUUUACAAAUGUGAAAACAAGCAUGAAAAAUGCAAAUCAGGACUUAUUGAAUUUAUAGUUCUCUCGCAGAAAAUUAUGAACGAACUAAAAAGAUUACUCGCAUGAACUGCGUAUUAAAACGUACUUCUGUAUGAAAAAGAAAAGUUAAUACACGGAUUACAAUUUUGUUCGACAGCGAGUAUCGCAGAGCCUUUUAUUAUGCAUUGUCGAGUAAAGCUAAAAGUAAAACACAAUCACACGCUUCGCUUUGACACACAAACCUAUAUAUAAUUACAUUUUCGAAUAAACGUGCAGUAUAACGUAAUAUAGACAACACACACUGUCGGCUGUCACCCGAGUUCCUUUCCAUGAAAUGCGUCGACGCAUCUUCAAAACGACUCCGCACGUAUAAGAGAAGAGCCUCUGGUCGUUUUGUCAAUGCGAUCGCGCGACGUAAGUACAAACCUUGAAUUCAGAACCAAAAAGAAACACAAAAUUACACACAUGCGUGCAAGGUAUUGUUGUCAAUUGAAGAGGGUGUGAAGUGUCGACGUUGCCCCACGUCAGUAUCCCCCCUUAUUAUUAUUAUCGACGUUAUAUAUACACUGUUUUACUUUUUACGUUUUUAUAUUGAUACGUUGUUCGCUGUGCGCUGUCUUUCGCUUGUUUAUCGUUUUGUACUUUUAUCUAUUGAUGUCAGAGUUCGUGUCACUUUUGUUAGUCAUCGCAUCUAUAUUGCACUGAGUAUGUACGUAUGACUCAUACAUGACUAACGAAGGCCGUAUAUAAUUGAUGCUCGUAGAUCAUUGCAAUACGGAAGACAAGCGACGAUGCACAGCGUCAAAAUCUUGAAAAUGUUUUCCCAAUGGAUAUCCAAAGAAUCUCUCAACAUUCACACCCCCUUGUGUUAUAUAUAAAUCACCGCCUAUGCGAGAGAGGUUUAACGACCAGAUAAUGUCGCAUUAUAAUCCGAGCGGAGCUCCGAAGGUAUGUUGGGAGCAGCCCUGCCACCGGGUGCAAUGCAUCCGGCGUUCGCCGCCCCAAUGGGCUUCCCUGGUGGGCCGAUGCUGGCGCCGAUGAUGCAUCCGCGUUUCAGAUGAUCGCCUCCGAUCGCGGACGGGCCCUCGACCGCGCCGUCGUUGCACUUCGUGCUCUGGGCUCGACCCUGAACACGACGGAAUGGGAGAGCAGGUCCCGAGAGACACACGUACGCACCCAGCCAAGAUCCGACACGUCGAUAUAUGCAUUAUAUCUAUAUCAAGCAAUCAGUGGUGAACGAUUAAUCGAUCAAUCGAUCGUCAAUUAUUGUGACCAGAAGAACCUACGACGACUGUGACCACCACCACCACCACCACCACCACUACUACCCGGACACAUCUCUCACUUACUCAUUUCUCUGUCUUUGUUUCUCUCUCUCUCUAAACAACCCAUCCGUCUGUCUCCCUUGACGCGGCCUCGGACUCUUUUCCUUGUACCUUAUUCCUCUCACGCGGAGGGAGAGUGCGCGACGAGCUGGUGGGACAACACUGUGUUGUAAUAUUCGAUCAAGAGCGAGAAAGAGACACGGAGAAAGGACGACCCGUCGUGUCCAGCGAGAGUAUUUUGUCGAGAGUUUUUCGGGGGUCAAGGACGUAACGCUGUGGGUGAUUUGCGUGUGAAAAGUCUUCCCGGAAGGAUGUAUAGCCGCGUUGGGUUGACCGAAAUUUCAUUUGAGUGGCUGUGCUGUGGCUAAAUUUGACGGUGCCAAUCUAACGUUUUUGUCGUUAAUAUCUUGAUGAAAUUAAAUACGCUGUUCGGAUUAUGUAAAAUCAAUUAUUUUCGUUGUUUAUAGAGGCGUUAGUUUUUACUCGAUUGAUGCAAGUUCAGAUAUUAACUGUUAGAUUACAGUUGUGACUAGAGAGUAUUAAAUAAGCAAAGUCAAUUACUUAAGGUACGACACAGAAAAAAUAAUUUUCGAAGAAUCAAUGCUGUAAUCAAUGUAGCAAGAAGUAAUCUUGACGCGAAGAUUGCUGAUGCAAACACGCUUUCCAGUAUUUCAAUUGAUAUUGUCGCUCGUGUGAAUUGGAUAAGUGUCUAUAUAACAGCCAUAAUUUUAAUAUUCGAAAUCUCGCCAAGUAAGCGCACGGUGUUACGAACUAGCUCACCGCAAAAAUUUCGCAAACGCACUCAUUUGCUGGCAUAGCGAGGCGUUCAACUUUCCGUGGUGCAAGAAGAGGGCUUCGAAAAAAACAACACAACACGUAUAAAAAAAGACAGAGUAGUACACACCAUACCACAGACAACCGAGAGAUACUGCUCAGGAGAGCCUGCGCAAAAUAAAGAGACAAUUGAUGUUGAUAACGCGCGAAAGUUAAAAAGAGUGAGAGAGAGAAAGAUAUCGCUCCGUUUGUUAUCUGUGCUUUUAAAAUGCCACCGAGAAUGAGACGCCAACUUACACGUGCCCAACUACAGCUGACAACGCAUUCAACAUACUCAGCAAAUUCAAGAAUCAGAAGUUAGCAAAAUUCUUUGUUUAUUAUAAUAACUAUUCCAUUACAUACUUAAUAAUAUUAACGUUGAUGAUGUGAAUGCAAGAUACUCGAGAAAUCCGAUGAGAGAUUCGUUUGUUCAGUAGAAAUGAUGUCUACAUUUUUUUUGCACAAUAUAGAAUACAAAUAUAAAUUUAAUGAACAUUUUUUAACAUUAUUUUAUUGUAACCAAAUCUAGUUUCUGAACUGACGAAUCGCUUCUCUCAGUAUCUGAGUCUGUAUAGUCUCGGAAGGAUGCAAAAUGUGAGAGACAAGGUGACGCCCCUCUCGCGUUACUGCCAACGGGACAAGUCGCCCACAGCAAGCGGAUUUUUCAUUGGUAGUAACGCGAGCUAGGUCUGUGCUCGCCUCAGGUUAGUUCGUCGAUUAGAUUUUAUUUUUAAAACGCAUUAAAAUUUAUAUGCUUGUACCGAGUUCGUUCAUCGAGCUUUAGAUAUGACAUAGAAACACAUGAUUGAAGGCAGGUCAUCUCGAGGAAUUUUUUAGAGUAUUGAAUUUCUUUAUUUGUAUAUACUUACACUUUUAUUAAAAAAAGUAACUUAUAUAAAUUCGAUAGUAAACGAAUUUGUUGAAAAUAUGAUUAUAAUGGCUAUACUAUUGCAUAAAAGUUGUUGUGUGAUCUAUUUUUUUUAUUUUCUUACUUUCAAGUGCUUUGUGUGAGCACACGACGUUUACGCAUUUUUACUCAGUGUUACAUCAUUGUAUUAUUAUUAUCGUUAUUAUUAUUUCUGAUGUUUUAUUUUAUAAAGAAAGAUCGAGUGUGGAUUUGAAUGUGUAUUUUGACUUUUAUCCGAUAACACUUUAUUUUCGAGCACAAUUAGAAAGUUUCAUCCACUCUUCUUACACUAGAGAUCUACAAACUUCAGGCGAUUGAAAUAUAUAUCUUGAUACCUCAUAGAUCGUUAAAGUAGCAUUUCUCACUCUUCUUUAUUGUCAUUAGCAAAUGACAUAAGCAAAUGUCUUAACAAAGAAAGUAUAAGGUGUCUCAUGUACUUGAAGUAUACUCUUUUAAUCGUAUGAAUAAUAACAAUAAGCCUCGUGAUCUGUUUCGAUGAACCUUCUCGGUGCGAAAAAGCCUUUUCCUUGCAAGGAACAAUUAUUGGGCGGCGCAUGAGUGAGUGGUAAGUACAGAGAGUAUCAGAUUAAAUGUAGAGUAAGAAUAAUUGACUAAAAAAAGUCGAAUGCGAAUUACAUGUGAAACGAGAGUGGUAAAGAAUAAUUUUUAACAAACAGCGGCUCUCAAUACUCGACUCACGCUACUUCAACCGACUCUCCUCUCUAUCUCUCUCUUUUUCUCUUUGGCCUCUUGCCAAGCUUCGAUCGCGCGACCUAUGUUUUCUUAAGUGCCACAGCUUAAAAUAAUUUUGUAAACUGGUUUGGCGGCGAAAUAAGCAACACGUUUGACGUUUCUAUCUAUUUAAAAUCACAGAAUAGUCGACAAUAUGUUUCAACGGUUCAAUCAAUCAUUAUGUAUUAGAAAAUGUGAAAAAUGUACUGCAACAAAAUCUCCAAGGAAUUUCGCAAUCUACGCGUACUAUAGUCCGUGAUCGAGGCUUCUAAUCCUUGUCCUUUCCUGAGUUAAAAUCGCUUUCCUCAUUCUCACUCUCUCCAUCCUGAGCCAUCCAAACUCCGCUCAGGCGUCACUGUUGCUGACCGACGAUACUUUUUUUCUCUCAAAGUAAAGAAAAAUUGUUAUCAGCAAAAACAAUAAAAUAAACCUAAUAAAAGUCCACGCUCUCAACCAACACUUCGAAAGCAAAACAGCGAACCGCGCCGUAAAACGACAUCUGUACGUAUUUAAAGCUACGCAUUGUUUAAUAUGAUAAUAAAUUAUAAGAGCAACUCGCGUCGACGCUUGCGUUUCCCAGCGAGGGCUUAUCUUGUUGUUGCUUCUUUAAACUAUCAUUUUUUUAUAUAUUAAAUGAUAACGAGAUGCGACCAUGCUCUCCGUUGUUGAUAUUGUUAAUUUUUUAAGCAUCCGCGGCUGAACUGUCCAAGCGUCGCUGCGAAGUUACAUUAAUUUUCGAAAUGUAGUUCUUCUGUUACUUAUACUGAGUGUCAUAUGAUUAUCUCGACUGUUUUUCCGAAUAAAGACGUUUUGUGGAAUAAAAGCUCGAACUGGAAAAUCUGGGCCGUGUUGCCCGCCCCUUUGGGACUUCGCUGUAAAUGAUCGUACAUUAUAGUGUCACGUAAUUUUUAAUAAUUUUUGUACCAAUUGCAGUGUCUGUGAUGAUUUUUGUUUUUUUCUUUAAUUUUUUAUAGUAAGAUUUUUGGUGUCAAUACAUGCGUCAUCAUUCAUGCGAAAAUUGCGUUUGAGGUCCAAUGGGGCUGGCAACGAGAGCCACAUAUUGUUUCAACCAAUCACAGCUCUAAUCGCUGUUGGACCUCGUCGGUCCCUUGCCGCAUCAGGCAGGCGAUUGUUUGGUCCUACCGUCUAGGAUUUCGAGGCUAUAGCGAGGUUUAGAGUACUGUUGCAAUUUUUAACAAAAUCGUUAAAAAUUCAUUUCAAAGAUUUAGAUUAAAUUGUGCAUGCUUGAUAAAUGAAAUUGAAAAAGGUGAUUCAUUAAAAUGAGCGUAUGCCUCAAUCAAUAAUGGAUAAUUGUAAAUAAUAAUGUUUUGCAUUAUUAAGUUGACAUCGGAAUGAUUGGUAAUGAAGAGUCAAAUUAGCCUCGUGGUCCGCACAGACGAGUGGCUGGACCGAGAAACAAUAUUAUAACAUGCCAAGUAUUGAUUUGUAAAGCUAAAUUAUAGCGCUGAUAACAUUCACAAUAAACCGAAGUGAAGAACUUUGUAACGCCGCAAAAUCGAGGUAUGAUUUGUCUUUUUUUUGCAACGAAUUAUAUGCCAACUUACAUAUGAAUAUAAUAACAUAAUAAACCAUCUAAUUAAUAAUAUGAUAAACAUGAUGCCGGAAAUAUUUGAUACGUAAAGUGAAAAAGUAGACCACGAAUUAUUUUGAUCGAAUUCGUAUCCAAUUCUACAGCAUUGUUCUUUUCAGCCAAGGGACAUCAAGUGAAAACCAAUCGACGAAGAUUGAAAAGUAAACAAAGUUUUGAGCGAAUAAUUUAGUGUAUUACACUUAAAUGUGUAUUAAUUGACGUGAUGAAUAAAGAAAUGAAUUUGUUACGAGAA